UGAUACCAAAAACUAACAAGUUAAGAGAUUACUUGACUUCAUGAAAUAAAUAAUUAAAUUAUUGAGAUCUUUUAUUUCAAAUAUAUAGUGACUGCUAAAAUGAUAAAAUGUGUUCAUGUAAAGAUAACAGUUGAAGUGCCUCACAUGAAUUCACUAAAUUACUUACUAUAAAACUUAAAAUAAAUUCUUCAAAGUAGCAGAAAUAAAAUAAGAAGCGAUCCACAACUUCCAAUUCCACAUAAUUAAAAAUUUAAAUGACAAAUUAAAAAAAAAACAAUAUAAUAGAAAAAGAGAGAGAGAAAAAAUAACUAAAUGGAAGAGAUUCUAGCUGGUGUGAAUUAAGCUAAUUAAGAAAUGAAUUAAGGCUAUGCAGCUUUUGCUGUUGAACCAAGGUAGCAACAACAGCUAGUAUUAUGUGAAAGAUCAUCAUCGUCAUCACGAUCAUGCAUGACGUCAUCAUCCAGAUCUCUAUUAUUGUUCUUAUGAUUAUCACCCUCACCUUUGAUUGAUGAAGAAGAAGAAUCCAUCUCAAAAUUCCAAAGGGUACCCACCAUUUGUUCUUGAUUUGCAUGCACAACAACACUUUCUCUGGCCAUUGAUGAUGAUGAUCUUUGCUUCUUCAUGGUCUUCCUUCUCCGUUGAUCUGCCAUCCUACAAAAAAAUCAAUAAAAUUAUUCUGCUUAAAUAAUUAAAAAAAAAGAAAAUAAAAGAUAAAAGAGUAAUAGUAGCAGGCAGGUUCAACAUUGACUGCUUUUUUUUUUUUCUUUUUGUUUGGAGCAAUGGAAGAAUAUUGAAAGUUUGAAACAUAAAGUCCAAAAAGCAAAGAUCUCGAACAUCAAUGAUACCCAUAACUAAAUUCUUAACCAAAUCCUUCUCUCUCCUUCUCUGCCUCCGCCACGUGCCUCUUUUUCUCUCUCACUCUCCUCCCUGUCUCAGCCACAUGGCUCUUGCCUUCCUCCUCGUCACCCCAGUGGGAAACUACGUGGAAGGCAAUAUGAUAGCCUCGCGCUGAGCAUUGUCGAGACGGUGCAUGGUGUCCUCUUGGACACCAAAUGCUGCAGAGGACCCAUCAUAGAUCUCAGGGACACCGAUCCUGCCAGAAAUUGAGGAUAGUUUUUUUUAGACUUUUAAAAAAAAUAUGAUUAUAAUUAUGCAAUGAUUUAUGUGUCAAAAAUUCUAAAUUCAUAAUUAAAAAUUAAAUUAUAGUACAUACAAAAAAAUUCUAUAAUAAAUAUGUUAAAUUUAUGGAUUUACAGCAUCCAUGAUCAAGAAAUUAAUUAAUUUUUUAUGAAUUAAUAUUAUUAUUACUUUAAUAUUUGGGAUUGAGAGACAUUAAUUUAAACACUGGUAUUAUUGUUAUUAUUUAUUUUAAAAUCACAAUAUAUAUCGUAUAAGUGAUUUUAACCAGAAGGCAGUAUAUAUAUAAGACUACAAUGUCAAUAAUAUAAUGUGUGCAUUCACAUAGUUAAAAUUGGAGGAACACCGUAAGUGGCGAAUAACAGGAAAGCAACGCACAACAUACAUUGAAUAAGACGCAUAUCAAUUGAUUCAAAUUAAAAAAAAUUGAUGUGAUAUGCCAAUAUUAAGUAACAACAAGUAAUAAUGAAAUUAAUUAUUACUUAAUGAUUUAGUUAUGGCCUGAUACCACUUGUUGGAAUUUUUUUAGAAUUUCUUAGUCUAAAAAUUAUCAUGUUAAAUCAUUAAGAAAGAAAAUACUAGAUGCGGAAGCGUACCUGAAUUCAUAAACAAAAAUUAUGAUAGGUUUUUCCGAUAUUUCUCAAUCAAAACCUUCUGUAUAGGAAAGCAACACACAACAUACAUUGAAUAAGACGCAUAUCAAUUGAUUCAAAUUAAAAAAAAUUGAUGUGACAUGCCAAUAUUAAGUAACAACAAAUAAUAAUGAAAUUAAUUAUUACUUAAUGAUUUAGUUAUGGAUGGCCUGAUACCACUUGUUGGAAUUUUUUUAGAAUUUCUUAGUCUAAAAAUUAUCAUGUUAAAUCAUUAAGAAAGAAAAUACUAGAUGCGGAAGCGUACCUGAAUUCAUAAACAUAAAUUAUGAUUGGAAGAGUUUGGAUUUUGUGGUUUUUCCGAUGUUUCUCAAUCAAAACCUACUGUAUCAGUAGGCGGCAGAAUUACAACUCUUUUGACGGAGAGAGAAACAAAGGCGGUUUGGUAGAUUGGGGACCGAAACCUGAAGGCCUAUUUUUUAUUUGAGCAUGACACCCAUUAAACCCUAAAACCCAAAUAAAAUAGUAUCUAAAAUCCAAAAAUAAUAUAUCUAAAGUCCAAAAGAUAAUUAUCUAAAGAACAAAAGAUAAUAUCGGGUUUUAUUCUCAUUUAAUUCCAAAUCAAAAGUAACUAUGACUUAUUCAAUUUAGCAUUUAUAACAAUAAAUGAAAUCACCAUUAUAUAAGUCAUUUAAUUUAAAAUAACAUAAUUUAUAAUUAUAAUUAAUAUAUGUAUUGCCUACAAAUAAAUUAAAAAAUUAAAAUAAUUUUCUAACAGUGCCAUUAGUUACCAAUAAUACAAAUAGAUUAUCACCGAAAGAGUGAUUAUGGUAUAACCAUAAAUAAGAGAAGAUAUAGUAAAAAAUUUUUAAAUAAUUUAAUAUAUUUAACUAAAUUAUUUAGUCUAAAUCGCUUUGUUUCUUUAUUAGUUUUAUACUUUUUAUCUUAAAUUUUUGGGCAUGUGAGUCCUGAUUUUAUUGUAUCAUAAAACUAUCAUUCUAAAUAAAAUUAAACUUUUAGACAGAGGUGCAUAAAAGAAUUUAGGAUUCUUUAGUACUGUUUUUGGUGUAGCAUGGGUCAAGAGAAGGUUCACACUAACAUAGUUGUGAUUAGUCCAUUAUAAUUCUUAAAUUUCUCAUAAAUAAAAUUUUUAUAUAAUUAUUUAGUAAAAAAUAUCGAUAUAAUUUAUAAAUAUGAGAUAAUUUUUUAUUUUAUGAACUAGUUUUUGAGUUGAGUUAGACCUAUUUAAUUUAAUUUUAAUAUGGUAUUAGUAUCUAUCCAAUCUAAUGUUAUUUGAUCACCUAUUUGCAAAUGUUCACAUUUCUGUUGAUCAGUUUUCACCAGUCUGUGGAGUCUUGCAAUGAUGCUCUUCUUUGAUGUGAAUCAAAUGAUCUUUUGCUACAAGGUAUUGGUUGGCCUUCCAAAUUUAAGCUAAGAAGUUCUUACAUAAAAAAAAUCUGGCAAUUAUAUUUUGGUUCUGGAUAAAGUUUGUUUAAAAUAUUGGUACAUUGAGUGGGAUUAAUAACAUGUAUUGUAUUGUAUUAUAAUUAUUAAUCAUCAAAUACCACUUAGUUUCAUUAUUCAAACAUCAGAUAGGAGGAUCAAAAUAUAAGUACAGAGUAUCCUUGGUUAAUGUCUUGUGCAGGUGGAUACAACAACACCAAAGUACUCCAUCUCUGUUGAUCAAAUCCUAAAGGAAGUUUCGUCUUAUUUGAAGAAAUUUCUUUAAGAGAAUGCAUCCUUUUAAUUUUUCUUUUUUACUGGUAUUGUCAAUUGUAAUUUUUCACCAUACACUAAUAUUAUUUUUUUUAAUACGACUCAAUAAUCUGAUUGAAAUCUUAUUAAAAGAGCAUAAGUGUACUCACAAAUUCUUUUAUUUGUAGAGUUCAAAUUCAAGAUCUCUCAUUAAAAAAUCAAAAUACUGUUAAAAAAAUCUAAAAAAAAGAUAAAAAGAAAAGAAGAUUAUUACUUCUUUCUCUUUUUAGGCCUAACUAAAUAAAAUAGAAUAAUAAUAUAAGGGGAGAAUCAAUCUCUUAAUUUAACUUUCUACUUCAAUAAAUCUUCAAUAAAUAAGUAUAAUCAUUCUCAUACAAUAAAUUUUAGAAUCAAUUUAGACAAAUCAUGUGAUACCAAAAACUAACAAAUUAAGAGAUUACUUGACUUCAUGAAAUAAAUAAUUAAAUUAUUGAGAUCUUUUAUUUCAAAUAUAUAUAGUGACUGCUAAACUGAUAAAGAUGUGUUCAUGUAAAAAUAACAGUUGAAGUGUCUCACAUGAAUUCACUAAAUUACUUACUAUAACACUUAAAGUAAAUUCUUCAAAGGAGCAGAAAUAAAAUAAGAAGCGAUCCACAACUUCCAAUUCGACAUAAUUAAAAACAAAUGACAAAUUAAAAAAAAUAAUAUAAUAGAGAAAGAGAGCGAGAAAAAACAACUAAAUGGAAGAGAUUCUAGCUGGUGUGAAUUAAGCUAAUUAAGAAAUGAAUUAAGGCUAUGCAGCUUUUGCUGUUGAACCAAGGUAGCAACAACAGCUAGUAUUAUGUGAAAGAUCAUCAUCGUCAUCAUGAUCAUGCAUGACGUCAUCAUCCAGAUCUCUAUUAUUGUUCUUAUGAUUAUCACCCUCACCUUUGAUUGAAGAAGAAGAAGAAGAAGAAUCCCUCUCAAAAUUCCAAAGGGUAUCCACCAUUUGUUCUUGAUUUGCAUGCACAACAACACUUUCUCUGGCCAUUGAUGAUGAUGAUCUUUGCUUCUUCAUGGCCUUCCUUCUCCGUUCAUGAUCUGCCAUCCUACAAAAAAAUCAACAAAUUAAUUCUGCUUGAAUAA
Molecule: long non-coding RNA, 4547 nt
Filed under: Arachis ipaensis
Lineage: Eukaryota; Viridiplantae; Streptophyta; Magnoliopsida; Fabales; Fabaceae
Description: long non-coding RNA (AIPA_LNC000517)
Source: RNAcentral